Molecule: ribosomal RNA, 460 nt
Filed under: uncultured bacterium
Lineage: Bacteria
Description: partial 16S ribosomal RNA
Rfam family: Bacterial small subunit ribosomal RNA
Source: RNAcentral
CCUACGGGAGGCAGCAGUGAGGAAUAUUGGUCAAUGGACGAGAGUCUGAACCAGCCAAGUAGCGUGAAGGAUGACUGCCCUAUGGGUUGUAAACUUCUUUUAUAUGGGAAUAAAAUGUUCCACGUGUGGGAUUUUGUAUGUACCAUAUGAAUAAGGAUCGGCUAACUCCGUGCCAGCAGCCGCGGUAAUACGGAGGAUCCGAGCGUUAUCCGGAUUUAUUGGGUUUAAAGGGUGCGUAGGUGGAUUGUUAAGUCAGUUGUGAAAGUUUGCGGCUCAACCGUAAAAUUGCAGUUGAAACUGGCAGUCUUGAGUACAGUAGAGGUGGGCGGAAUUCGUGGUGUAGCGGUGAAAUGCUUAGAUAUCACGAAGAACUCCGAUUGCGAAGGCAGCUUACUGGACUGCAACUGACACUGAGGCUCGAAAGUGUGGGUAUCAAACAGGAUUAGAUACCCCAGUAGUC